UACGUAGGCAGCAAGCGUUGUUCGGAAUUACUGGGCGUAAAGAGUGUGUAGGCGGUGCUCUAAGUCUGUUGUGAAAUCUCCCGGCUUAACUGGGAGGGUGCGGCGGAGACUGGAGUGCUAGAGUGUGGGAGAGGUAAGCGGAAUUCCUGGUGUAGCGGUGAAAUGCGUAGAUAUCAGGAGGAACACCAAUUGCGAAGGCAGCUCGCUGGGACGUUACUGACGCUGAGACGCGAAAGCGUGGGGAGCAAACAGG
This 253-nucleotide ribosomal RNA is filed under the name uncultured bacterium. Its description in RNAcentral is "partial 16S ribosomal RNA". It matches the Rfam family "Bacterial small subunit ribosomal RNA", at positions 524 to 776 of the family's 1533-position model. The record is from RNAcentral.